UUCUUAUCCAGAGAGGUGGAGGGACUGGCCCUUUGAAACCUCAGCAACAGAUUUUUAAAUACUGUGCUAAUUCCAGAAGUGUAAAACUUGGAGAUAGGAA
This 100-nucleotide non-coding RNA is filed under the name Virgibacillus necropolis. Its description in RNAcentral is "SAM-I sequence". It matches the Rfam family "SAM riboswitch aptamer (S box leader)". From Rfam's summary of the family: The SAM riboswitch is found upstream of a number of genes which code for proteins involved in methionine or cysteine biosynthesis in Gram-positive bacteria. The SAM riboswitch acts at the level of transcription termination control. Lineage: Bacteria; Bacillati; Bacillota; Bacilli; Caryophanales; Bacillaceae. The record is from Rfam by way of RNAcentral.